GACGAACGCUGGCGGCGUGCUUAACACAUGCAAGUCGAACGGAAAGGCCUCUUUCGGGGGGUACUCGAGUGGCGAACGGGUGAGUAACACGUGAGUAACCUGCCCUUGACUUUGGGAUAACUUCAGGAAACUGGGGCUAAUACCGGAUAGGAGCUCCUGCUGCAUGGUGGGGGUUGGAAAGUUUCGGCGGUUGGGGAUGGACUCGCGGCUUAUCAGCUUGUUGGUGGGGUAGUGGCUUACCAAGGCUUUGACGGGUAGCCGGCCUGAGAGGGUGACCGGCCACAUUGGGACUGAGAUACGGCCCAGACUCCUACGGGAGGCAGCAGUGGGGAAUAUUGCACCAUGGGUGGAAGGCUGAUGCAGCAACGCCGUGUGCGGGAUGACGGCCUUCGGGUUGUAAACCGCUUUCGCUCAUGACGAAGCUUUGUGUGACGGUAGUGGGUAAAGAAGCACCGGCUAACUACGUG
This 467-nucleotide ribosomal RNA is filed under the name uncultured bacterium. RNAcentral's name for it is "partial 16S ribosomal RNA". It matches the Rfam family "Bacterial small subunit ribosomal RNA", at positions 28 to 507 of the family's 1533-position model. The record is from RNAcentral.